RNAcentral lists this ribosomal RNA (254 nucleotides) under uncultured bacterium. RNAcentral describes it as "partial 16S ribosomal RNA". It matches the Rfam family "Bacterial small subunit ribosomal RNA", at positions 524 to 776 of the family's 1533-position model. The record is from RNAcentral.
UACGUAGGGUGCGAGCGUUGUCCGGAAUUAUUGGGCGUAAAGAGCUCGUAGGCGGUGUGUCACGUCGGCCGUGAAAACCUGCAGCUUAACUGUGGGCGUGCGGUCGAUACGGGCAUCACUGGAGUUCGGCAGGGGGGACUGGAAUUCCUGGUGUAGCGGUGAAAUGCGCAGAUAUCAGGAGGAACACCGGUGGCGAAGGCGGGUCUCUGGGCCGAUACUGACGCUGAGACGCGAAAGCGUGGGGAGCGAACAGG